AGAGGAAGUCUUAUUUGGGUUGCGGUCCUAUUUGGUGUCCGGAAGCAAGCCACUCAGGACCAUACAUGGGUCCGCGAGGCAGAGUUGCCUAGACAUUUUAUUUUUUGAUUUUUUUAUUUGUAUCCGUACAUAUUAGAUAUGAUACCACCGGUUUUAGCGGAAAAAAAAUAAAGCAAGCAAGCCAAGAGACUUGACUAACUUCGUUUUUUUUUUUUGUUCUCGUUUUCAUGCUAAACAAGCCAAGCUCACCUACCCAUGGCAAAAUUUUAAUUAUGAAUCAUUUUAUGCAUGAAUUGUGAUCGACAGAUCAUCUCUCUUAGCGCCUCAGCAAACAAGCUCUCCAAGAUCCAAGAGCAGGCGGAGGAGUACGCCCGCCUCAUUAUGGAAGAAUUGGACCCCAAUAGUCUUGGCUACAUCGAGGUAAAACACCAUCGAAUUCUUCUAAAGAAAAAGAAAAUUAGAAUGAUUUCGAGAAAAAGGCCAGGAAGACUGAUUAGAUGAUGAUCGGCUUUCAGAUAUACAAUUUGGAGAUGCUUCUGCUGCAAGUCCCGGGGCAGUCGAUCCGGAUCGGGACGACGAACAGCAGGAACCUGAGCCAGAUGCUGAGCCAGAAGCUGAAGCCGACCGAGGAGCCGAACCCACUCCGGCGGUGGUACCAGCGGGCCAGGUACUUCCUGGAGGACAACUGGAAGCGGGUAUGGGUGCUGGCGCUGUGGCUUGCCAUCUGCGCCGGCCUCUUCGCCUGGAAGUUCAUGCAGUACCGGCGCCGGGCGGUGUAUCACGUCAUGGGCUACUGCGUCUGCGUCGCCAAGGGCGGCGCCGAGACCCUCAAGUUCAACAUGGCCCUCAUCCUCCUCCCCGUCUGCCGCAACACCAUCACCUGGCUCCGCAACAAGACCAAGCUCGGCGCCGCCCUCCCAUUCGACGACAAUCUCAACUUCCACAAGGUAUUUAUAUAUAUAUAUGUAUCUUCUCCGCCGGUUGUUUUUGAAAACCUCCGCCUUUAAAAGUAUUAAUUAUAUGACUUCGAAAGCCAAUCAUAUAUGUUCUUGUCCUCUUGUGUUUUUUUAAUUAAUAGGUGAUUGCGGUGGGGAUCGCCAUUGGCGUGGGAUUGCACGCAAUCUCGCACUUGACCUGCGACUUCCCGCGGCUCCUGCAUGCGAGCGACGCGGCGUACGUGCCGAUGAAGCCAUUCUUCGGGGACACGAGGCCGAACAACUACUGGUGGUUCGUGAAGGGAACGGAGGGGUGGACCGGGAUCACCAUGGUGGUGCUGAUGACCAUCGCCUUCGUUCUGGCCACCCCGUGGUUCCGCCGCGGCCGGAUCGGGCUUCCCAAGCCCCUGAACCGGCUCACCGGUUUCAAUGCCUUCUGGUACUCCCACCACCUCUUCGUCAUCGUCUACAUCCUCCUAAUCAUCCACGGCAUCUUCCUUUACCUCUCCCAUCAAUGGUACAAGAAGUCGGUAAGCAUAUAUCAUACCAAAAGCACCUUAAUAAUUUUCUCCAUCUAAUCCACUCCGAACGUACGUUAAUCUUAUUUAAUUAAUGGCAGACCUGGAUGUACCUGGCGAUCCCGAUGAUCAUCUACGCGACCGAGCGGCUGAUCAGAGCGUUCAGAUCGAGCGUGAGGCCGGUGAAGAUACUGAAGGUGGCGGUGUACCCAGGGAACGUGCUGGCUCUCCACGUGUCCAAGCCUCAGGGCUUCAAGUACCGGAGCGGGCAGUACAUAUUCGUCAACUGCGCUGCCGUGUCGCCUUUCCAAUGGUGGGUAUAGCUUUUGUUUAGCACUGGAUAGAUUCCUGGCUGAUUAAAUUAGCUAAUCUUUGUAUUCUAUUACGAAACAGGCAUCCGUUCUCUAUCACUUCAGCGCCCGAAGAUGAUUACCUCAGCGUCCACAUACGGACGCUCGGCGACUGGACCCGCCAGCUCAAAACGGUUUUCUCGAGAGUACGUGGCGCUGUUGUUAUGCUUUAGAUUUACCUUACUAAUUUUGGAUUACAGAUGGGAUGACAGUAGAGGAUUUUAACUAGUAGUAAUUAGUGGGUUAAAUAAUAUAUAGCAUGGUAGUAAUAUUUUUGAGGUAAUGCUAAUAGAUGAGUGGGAUUUGGUUAAUGGAAUCAGGUGUGCCAGCGACCGGCCGAUGGGAAAAGCGGGCUUCUGAGAGCCGACUGCGAUGGCGACGCCGACAUCUCCAUUCCAAGGUGAGGACCAGCUUAACCUUCUUCCUCCUGCGCUCCGAUAUUAAUAUCCAGCUCACAUGACAAACGAUUGAAGGCCACCACCUCUGAUAUUUUUGGAACACGACGAACCUCUUUCACGCUCUUUGCUUGCCGGCCUCUCCAACUCUCUCUCACUUCCUUGUCUCUUUCAACAGUAUUAGUCAUGCAGCUGGCUCUGUUUGUUGCCUACUUAUAUUAUAUUAAUGUACGCACCAAAAGAAAAAACAAAAAAAAGAACGAAAGAAGUAGAGGGACGGCAAGUCUUAAUUUGGAGAAGCGAUGGUACUCAGAAGAGUGGAUUAAUUUAUUUAUUCAUUUGGUUUGCAAAAUGCGAGUGCAGCAUGCCUCGGGUGCUGAUAGAUGGACCCUAUGGAGCGCCGGCCCAGGACUACAAGAAGUACGACGUGGUUCUGCUGGUGGGGCUGGGCAUCGGCGCCACCCCCUUCAUCAGCAUCCUCAAGGACAUCGUCAACAACAUGAAGCAGCUGGAAUCGGAAGGCCUGCUCGACUCGGAGGGCGAUCGGGAUCUGGAAGGCGCCGGCGGCAGCAGCCAUAGGCCCAGCGGAACGUCGUCGACGUUCAAUACCCGGAGGGCCUACUUCUACUGGGUGACGAGGGAGCAGGGGUCGUUCGAGUGGUUCCGUGGGGUGAUGAAUGAGGUGGCGGAGACGGACAAGAAGGGGGUGAUCGAGCUGCACACCUACUGCACCAGCGUAUACGAAGAAGGGGACGCCCGGUUACUUCUACUGGGUGACGAGGGAGCAGGGGUCGUUCGAGUGGUUCCGGGGGGUGAUGAACGAGGUGGCGGAGACGGACAAGAAGGGGAUGAUCGAGCUGCACACCUACUGCACCAGCGUGUACGAGGAAGGGGACGCCCGGUCCGCCCUCAUCACGAUGCUGCAGUCCCUGAACCACGCCAAGCACGGGGUCGACGUCGUCUCC
RNAcentral lists this long non-coding RNA (3163 nucleotides) under Phoenix dactylifera (date palm). Its description in RNAcentral is "long non-coding RNA (PDAC_LNC005102)". Lineage: Eukaryota; Viridiplantae; Streptophyta; Magnoliopsida; Arecales; Arecaceae. The record is from RNAcentral.